RNAcentral lists this ribosomal RNA (513 nucleotides) under uncultured bacterium. Its description in RNAcentral is "bacterial SSU rRNA". It matches the Rfam family "Bacterial small subunit ribosomal RNA", at positions 24 to 518 of the family's 1533-position model. The record is from RNAcentral.
UUAGAACGAACGCUGGCGGCGCGUCUUAAGCAUGCAAGGUCGAACGGCAAGGAUGGUAGCUUGCUACUAGUCCCUGGGAGUGGCGGACUGGUGAGUAACGACGUGGGUCGACCUACCCUGAGAUGGGGAUAGCCAUUAGAAAUAGUGGAUAAUACCGAAUACGCUCUACAGACUCUGGUUUGAGAGGAAACAGGCUACGGCCUGGCUCGAGGAUGGGCCCGCGUCCCAUUAGCUAGUUGGUGAGGUAAGAGCCCACCAAGGCGACGAUGGGUAUCCGGCCUGAGAGGGUGUACGGACACAUUGGGACUGGGAUACGGCCCAAACUCCUACGGGAGGCAGCAGCUAAGAAUAUUCCGCAAUGGACGAAAGUCUGACGGAGCGACGCCGCGUGGAUGACGAAGGCCGAAAGGUUGUAAAAUCCUUUUGCUGAUGAAGAAUAAGCGUGGUAGGGAAUGACCGCGUGAUGACAUUAGUCGGUGAAUAAGCCCCGGCUAACUACGUGCCAGCAGCGGC